ACGAACGCUGGCGGCGUGCCUAAUACAUGCAAGUCGAGCGGACGGAUGGGAGCUUGCUCCCAGACCGUCAGCGGCGGACGGGUGAGUAACACGUGGGCAACCUGCCUGUAAGACUGGGAUAACUCCGGGAAACCGGGGCUAAUACCGGAUAACUCUUUCCCUCACAUGAGGGAAAGCUGAAAGAUGGCAUCUCGCUAUCACUUACAGAUGGGCCCGCGGCGCAUUAGCUAGUUGGUGAGGUAACGGCUCGCCAAGGCGACGAUGCGUAGCCGACCUGAGAGGGUGAUCGGCUACACUGGGACUGAGACACGGCCCAGACUCCUACGGGAGGCAGCAGUAGGGAAUCUUCCGCAAUGGACGAAAGUCUGACGGAGCAACGCCGCGUGAGUGAUGAAGGUUUUCGGAUCGUAAAACUCUGUUGUCAGGGAAGAACAAGUACCGGAGUAACUGCCGGUACCUUGACGGUACCUGACCAGAAAGCCACGGCUAACUACGUG
Molecule: ribosomal RNA, 497 nt
Filed under: uncultured bacterium
Lineage: Bacteria
Description: partial 16S ribosomal RNA
Rfam family: Bacterial small subunit ribosomal RNA
Source: RNAcentral